UCCCUGGAGGACUAGUGGUUAGGCCACAGCGCUCUCACCUCUGCGGCACGGGAUCGAUUCCCAGCCAGGGAA
This 72-nucleotide transfer RNA is filed under the name Pangasianodon gigas (Mekong giant catfish). Its description in RNAcentral is "tRNA-Glu". It matches the Rfam family "tRNA". Rfam says of the family: Transfer RNA (tRNA) molecules are approximately 80 nucleotides in length. Their secondary structure includes four short double-helical elements and three loops (D, anti-codon, and T loops). The record is from RNAcentral. Lineage: Eukaryota; Metazoa; Chordata; Actinopteri; Siluriformes; Pangasiidae.